UCCGCCAUCAUAGUCGUUCA
This 20-nucleotide non-coding RNA is filed under the name Arabidopsis thaliana (thale cress). The record is from RNAcentral. Lineage: Eukaryota; Viridiplantae; Streptophyta; Magnoliopsida; Brassicales; Brassicaceae.